UGCCAUUUUCUUGUAGAAUUUCAUCCUCCUAGGAAUUAGCAUUCCAAUGUCCAAAUGGGUGACUAAAUAUAUAAAGACCAAUGAUAUGGCUCAAAUUCAUUGUCCCAAAAAUCUCUUCCAACAACUCAGCCUACUAAAUUGAAUGAUGAUGUGUGUUCAAUGAAAUCAAUGAUCAAUUAAAUCUCUGGAUAAUCAAUAAUCAGUCAUAGCUUGGUGUGAGCUCAAUCCACCCAAAAAGAAAUAUUGUAACUAGCUAGAAGAUAAGAAAAGCACUCAAAUCAUAGUGCACAUGAAAUAGAAUAUCCUCACCAUCCUGAUCAGUGG
RNAcentral lists this long non-coding RNA (324 nucleotides) under Elaeis guineensis (African oil palm). Its description in RNAcentral is "long non-coding RNA (EGUI_LNC040854)". The record is from RNAcentral. Lineage: Eukaryota; Viridiplantae; Streptophyta; Magnoliopsida; Arecales; Arecaceae.